This is a long non-coding RNA of Patella vulgata (common limpet), 469 nucleotides long. RefSeq lists it as uncharacterized. The record is from RefSeq and is a predicted model, not a curated record. NCBI's taxonomy places the organism in Eukaryota, Metazoa, Mollusca, Gastropoda, Patellidae. The transcript has 4 exons.
GUUCUCGUUCAGAAAAAAGGUCACACACGGCCAGUAUCAAAGGUGCAGAUUUGAGGACAGUGACAUCACAAAAUCAUCGUGUUUCAUAACACUAAACAGGAUUUAAAUGUCGCCAAGAUGAGCGUCGAUGAAAUUUUAAGAAAUUUACCAAUUCUAGUUAUCCUCGCGGUUUCACAUUUCGGUGGGGUUUUAUCAGAAUAUUGUGGAACAACACAAUGUUAUUAUCCAGAGAAAUGUUGUUCGAACGGAAUGACGUGUUGCUAUGACAGUGAUGCCAGUGAUCAUUAUAUAACCUAUAAACUACAUGUAUGGAACAUGUGGUACUUCUGGUUUAUAAUAAUAUUUAUCAUGAUGUCAUGUUUUGGUGGGUGUGGUUAUUAUAGAAGAAAACGAAUGGCAGCCAUGUCACGAUUACAGCAAAGACAACGACAGGGGGCGCUACAAACAUCUAUAGAUUUAAUGAGUAAUA